Non-coding RNA from Rattus norvegicus (Norway rat), 136 nucleotides. The record is from Rfam. NCBI's taxonomy places the organism in Eukaryota, Metazoa, Chordata, Mammalia, Rodentia, Muridae.
AAGCCCCACCGACUGUCCUUUGGUCUAAGUUAUUUUUUUGAUGAUUUUUGGGGGAUUUUCCGGCGCGAUCCUAGCGUCGCGCUACUCUCGGACAGGUUAUCCCUUCUCUCCCGCUAGAUUGAUGAGAUCAGGCAUC